Platichthys flesus (European flounder) is the source of this 708-nucleotide long non-coding RNA. RefSeq lists it as uncharacterized. NCBI's taxonomy places the organism in Eukaryota, Metazoa, Chordata, Actinopteri, Pleuronectiformes, Pleuronectidae. The record is from RefSeq and is a predicted model, not a curated record. The transcript has 2 exons.
UGCCGGUAUUUAAGUUCAUGAAUGAAAAGGUUAAAAUGUAACUGAUACAGGCAGUAUUUGUAUUAUUCGCUUCUUGAGGCGGAACUAAUGUGCUUUGUUCGUAGCCCCGGGGGCCAAGAUCACUGUGACACUGCAAACGGCAGGUGCACGGUGCGCGUUUUGUCACCAAAGCUAUAAAACUUGUAAUGCACAUCAAAACCUCUUUUUACGGCAAGCGGCCAACGAGGUAUGUUUAUAUUAAUGUCGACACUGAGCGUCAUUUUGUGUUCGCUAUAUGUGUAUAAUGUGCUGCGAUAUGUAUGGAAAUGUUUUGUACUGUGUUUUUACAUACUUUCAGUUCUCACGGCGUAACGUGUAAAGCGUGAUGGUGUUGAUAAGAUGGAGAGGGAGAGAGGAGACAUGCCACCGCAAUAAACGCCCGUUCAAAGGAACCGACCUGUGUCUUGUGUCGUCGUAAGAGGAGCUACAGUGAGAACUCGACUGCUCGGCGCGGGUAGGCGAGACGACGAGACCGCAGCUGUGUGACGACGUGACGGGAUCACUCGGCAUCGCAGCAGAGCGGAAAAGCAACGCACUUCAAUCACUGUCGCCAUAGCGGCGGCAAUAUAUGGAAGUUCUCACGGCGUAACGUGUAAAGCGUGAUGGUGUUGAUAAGAUGGAGAGGGAGAGAGGAGACAUGCCACCGCAAUAAACGCCCGUUCAAAGGAA